UCUACAGUGCAGUUCACACACGCAUGGCUGCUCUGGCCAAGGGCAUCAUGACAUAAACUGGGCGACUGCUUCUCUCUCAGACAGAAGAUGGUGAUUCCGUGCAUGGCAGCUUGUACAAUAAAUUGGUUUAUCAUGGAUUGCCAAUAUUCCAGAAUUUUCCAAGGGAUGAUGAUCAGUAGCAUUUGGAAGGGAAAAUUGAUCUGAGCCCCAGAUCCAGGAGUCACGUGCAGAAUCUGAAGUAGGAGCUGCCUGAAGGAGAGCCAGCUGCUGCCCUGGAGAUUGCAAAGGGGAUCCCUGCAGAUACGCAGCCUGGAGCAGACGGGACAGCAGAGACUGCACAGCCAGACCCACCAUUCUGUGCUCACAGUCUGUGUCUAGCUGGGGUAGGGAGGAGGGCUGUGUGCUGUACCUUGUGCCAGGCCUGGGCAAGGGGGUUUGCAUAACCCCGGCCCGAGAUCCUCCCCUGGGUCUGCUCAGGGCUGUGCCAGAGUUAGAGAAAAGUGUUGUUCUAUUGCUAAGUGUGGUGCUUGUUCCAGGGGCUAAGCCUGAGCCCUAGAAGGAAGGGUGGGUGUUUCUGCAGAGGUGCAUGGCUGGGCCCCCUGGGCCCCACUCCAGACUGUGAGAGCCCCCCCAUGUGACAAGUGGCCUGACAAACAGGAUUGGUGGAGUUUAGGCAAAGAGCCCUGGGGACAAUGGCUGAGCAGGGGUGGCAAGUUUAUGUAAUUUUUUGUGGUGCCCAGAAUGGGUCCAACCCAGGAGAGGGGUUUGGGGUGUGAGAGGGGCUCAGGGCUGAGGCAGAGGGUUGGGGUGCAGGGGAGUGAGGGCUCU
Long non-coding RNA from Gopherus flavomarginatus (Mexican gopher tortoise), 828 nucleotides. RefSeq lists it as uncharacterized. The transcript is spliced from 3 exons. Lineage: Eukaryota; Metazoa; Chordata; Testudines; Testudinidae. The record is from RefSeq and is a predicted model, not a curated record.